This 2060-nucleotide ribosomal RNA is filed under the name Clostridioides difficile. Its description in RNAcentral is "bacterial LSU rRNA". It matches the Rfam family "Bacterial large subunit ribosomal RNA", at positions 563 to 2640 of the family's 2925-position model. The record is from RNAcentral. Lineage: Bacteria; Bacillati; Bacillota; Clostridia; Peptostreptococcales; Peptostreptococcaceae.
CUUACAAGCUGUGGAAGCACAUUUCUUGUGUGACCGCGUACUUUUUGUAGAACGGGCCAACGAGUUACGUUAAGUAGCAAGGUUAAGCACUUAAGGUGCGGAGCCGUAGCGAAAGCGAGUUUUAACUGAGCGUUCAGUUACUUGACGUAGACCCGAAACCGGGCGACCUACCCAUGAGCAGGAUGAAGCGAAAGUAAAAUUUCGUGGAGGUCCGAACCCACGAGCGUUGAAAAGCUCGGGGAUGACUUGUGGGUAGCGGUGAAAUUCCAAUCGAGCCCGGAGAUAGCUGGUUCUCCCCGAAAUAGCUUUAGGGCUAGCCUCAAGGUGAGAGAUACGGAGGUAGAGCACUGAAUGUCCUAGGGGGUAUUGCACCUACCGAAGACUAUCAAACUCCGAAUGCCGUCAUCUUAUACUUGGGAGUCAGACUGUGGGUGAUAAGAUUCAUAGUCGAAAGGGCAACAGCCCAGAUCGUCAGCUAAGGUCCCUAAAUGUAAGUUAAGUGGUAAAGGAUGUGGGAUUGCACAGACAACCAGGAUGUUGGCUUAGAAGCAGCCACUCAUUCAAAGAGUGCGUAAUAGCUCACUGGUCGAGUGAUCCUGCGCCGAAGAUUUCCGGGGCUAAAACUUACUACCGAAGCUACGGCAUCAGUAAUGAUGGGUAGGGGAGCUUCCCAUACGGGUUGAAGCAUGACCGUAAGGACAUGUGGACAGUAUGGGAGUGAGAAUGUUGGCAUGAGUAGCGAGAUGUGGGUGAGAAUCCCACAGGCCGUAAACCCAAGGUUUCCAGGGGAAGGUUCGUCCGCCCUGGGUUAGUCGGGACCUAAGCUGAGGCCGAAAGGCGUAGGUGAUGGACAACAGGUUGAUAUUCCUGUACUACCGAUAACCGUUUGAGAGAAGGGAUGACACAGUAGGAUAAGCUAAGCACACUGUUGGUUAUGUGUGCCCAAGCAUUGAGGCAGUCAAAGUAGGCAAAUCCGCUUUGAUAAUGCUGGGAUGUGAUGGGGAGCGAAAUUUAGUAGCGAAGUAGCUGAUUUCACACUGUCAAGAAAAGUCUCUAUCGAGGUUAAAGGUACCCGUACCGCAAACCGACACAGGUGGGUGAGGAGAGUAUCCUAAGGCCAGCGAGAGAACUGUUGUUAAGGAACUCGGCAAAAUGACCCCGUAACUUAGGGAUAAGGGGUGCCACCAUCAGGUGGCCGCAGAGAAUAGGCCCAAGCGACUGUUUACCAAAAACAUAGGUUUCUGCUAAGUCGCAAGACGAUGUAUAGGAGCUGACGCCUGCCCGGUGCUGGAAGGUUAAGGGGAUCUGUUAGAGCAAUCGAAGCAGUGAACUUAAGCCCCAGUAAACGGCGGCCGUAACUAUAACGGUCCUAAGGUAGCGAAAUUCCUUGUCGGGUAAGUUCCGACCCGCACGAAAGGCGUAACGAUUUGGGCACUGUCUCAACAACAGACUCGGUGAAAUUGUAAUUCCGGUGAAGAUGCCGGAUACCUGCGACAGGACGGAAAGACCCCAUGGAGCUUUACUGUAGCUUGACAUUGGGUCUUGGUACUACAUGUACAGGAUAGGUGGGAGGCUUUGAAACCAGGACGCCAGUUUUGGCGGAGCCAUCCUUGGGAUACCACCCUUGUAGUACUGGGACUCUAACCAUAGGCCAUGAAUCUGGUCUUGGGACACUGUCAGGUGGGCAGUUUGACUGGGGCGGUCGCCUCCCAAAAGGUAACGGAGGCGCUCAAAGGUUCUCUCAGUACGGUCGGAAAUCGUACGUAGAGUGUAAAGGCAAAAGAGAGCUUGAUUGCAAGACAUACAGGUCGAGCAAGGAUGAAAAUCGGACUUAGUGAUCCGGUGGUUCUGCGUGGAAGGGCCAUCGCUCAACGGAUAAAAGCUACCCUGGGGAUAACAGGCUUAUCUCCCCCAAGAGUCCACAUCGACGGGGAGGUUUGGCACCUCGAUGUCGGCUCAUCACAUCCUGGGGCUGUAGUAGGUCCCAAGGGUUGGGCUGUUCGCCCAUUAAAGUGGUACGCGAGCUGGGUUCAGAACGUCGUGAGACAGUUCGGUCCCUA